CAAAAAAGGUCGCAUGUACUGAAAGUGUCAAAAUAAAAAUAAAUGCACAUAAGACUCUUUGUGGUCAGCCUAUAAAUUUGAAUGUUAGCUUAAUUUUAAGUUAUUUUUGUACUUAAGUGUAUGGAAUACCAUGUGAGGUGCUGCGUAUCGGUUGAGUAUUUUAUGUGCUCGUUCCAAAUGUAAUGAAGGUAUAUGCUAAUCUAUACGAUUCCACUCCGUCUUCGUGUUGGCCUACAAACAGACCACUGGAUACUAGAUGUAGAUUCCAUCAGAUAAUCCCGAUUUAUGGAACGAGAAUGUCUAGUGAACUUCGAAAAGCUUUUGUUCCCUGCUUGCUUAUCAGAUGGACAUAGACAAUGUUCCGAAAUUCUUUGAAUUGGAUACUCUCGUCGUCAUGGACAUUUGAUGACAUCAUGGGUAUAGUAUCCGAGGCCGCCGAAUCGGCCAUGACAAUUAC
Molecule: long non-coding RNA, 457 nt
Organism: Armigeres subalbatus
Lineage: Eukaryota; Metazoa; Arthropoda; Insecta; Diptera; Culicidae
Exons: 2
Source: RefSeq, a predicted model, not a curated record